GGAGGCCUAGGAUGAUUUAAGAUUUGCCUACAUUGUCAGAUUGUUCAGCCCAUGACACAUAUUGAGUGCUUCUGAGGCCAUC
Molecule: small nucleolar RNA, 82 nt
Organism: Hevea brasiliensis (rubber tree)
Lineage: Eukaryota; Viridiplantae; Streptophyta; Magnoliopsida; Malpighiales; Euphorbiaceae
Product: small nucleolar RNA SNORD34
Exons: 1
Source: RefSeq, a predicted model, not a curated record